UUCGGGGUACUCGAGUGGCGAACGGGUGAGUAACACGUUGGUGAUCUGCCCUGCACUUUGGGAUAAGCCUGGGAAACUGGGUCUAAUACCGAAUAGGACCACGCGCUUCAUGGUGUGUGGUGGAAAGCUUUUGCGGUGUGGGAUGGGCCCGCGGCCUAUCAGCUUGUUGGUGGGGUAAUGGCCUACCAAGGCGACGACGGGUAGCCGGCCUGAGAGGGUGACCGGCCACACUGGGACUGAGAUACGGCCCAGACUCCUACGGGAGGCAGCAGUGGGGAAUAUUGCACAAUGGGCGCAAGCCUGAUGCAGCGACGCCGCGUGAGGGAUGACGGCCUUCGGGUUGUAAACCUCUUUCAAUAGGGACGAAGCGCAAGUGACGGUACCUAUAGAAGAAGCACCGGCCAACUACGUGCCAGCAGCCGCGGUAAUACGUAGGGUGCGAGCGUUGUCCGGAAUUACUGGGCGUAAAGAGCUCGUAGGUGGUUUGUCGCGUUGUUCGUGAAAACUCACAGCUUAACUGUGGGCGUGCGGGCGAUACGGGCAGACUAGAGUACUGCAGGGGAGACUGGAAUUCCUGGUGUAGCGGUGGAAUGCGCAGAUAUCAGGAGGAACACCGGUGGCGAAGGCGGGUCUCUGGGCAGUAACUGACGCUGAGGAGCGAAAGCGUGGGGAGCGAACAGGAUUAGAUACCCUGGUAGUCCACGCCGUAAACGGUGGGUACUAGGUGUGGGUUCCUUCCUUGGGAUCCGUGCCGUAGCUAACGCAUUAAGUACCCCGCCUGGGGAGUACGGCCGCAAGGCUAAAACUCAAAGGAAUUGACGGGGGCCCGCACAAGCGGCGGAGCAUGUGGAUUAAUUCGAUGCAACGCGAAGAACCUUACCUGGGUUUGACAUGCACAGGACGCCGGCAGAGAUGUCGGUUCCCUUGUGGCCUGUGUGCAGGUGGUGCAUGGCUGUCGUCAGCUCGUGUCGUGAGAUGUUGGGUUAAGUCCCGCAACGAGCGCAACCCUUGUCCUAUGUUGCCAGCGGGUUAUGCCGGGGACUCGUAGGAGACUGCCGGGGUCAACUCGGAGGAAGGUGGGGAUGACGUCAAGUCAUCAUGCCCCUUAUGUCCAGGGCUUCACACAUGCUACAAUGGCCGGUACAAAGGGCUGCGAUGCCGUGAGGUGGAGCGAAUCCUUUCAAAGCCGGUCUCAGUUCGGAUCGGGGUCUGCAACUCGACCCCGUGAAGUCGGAGUCGCUAGUAAUCGCAGAUCAGCAACGCUGCGGUUAAUACGUUCCCGGGCCUUGUACACACCGCCCGUCACGUCAUGAAAGUCGGUAACACCCGAAGCCGGUGGCC
This 1341-nucleotide ribosomal RNA is filed under the name Mycobacterium sp. DWMJ-1770B2. Its description in RNAcentral is "bacterial SSU rRNA". It matches the Rfam family "Bacterial small subunit ribosomal RNA", at positions 81 to 1435 of the family's 1533-position model. The record is from RNAcentral. Lineage: Bacteria; Bacillati; Actinomycetota; Actinomycetes; Mycobacteriales; Mycobacteriaceae.